ACGCUCGACACCUACGGGAGGCAGCAGUGGGGAAUAUUGCACAAUGGGGGAAACCCUGAUGCAGCAACGCCGCGUGAGGAAGAGGUUUCGNUGUAACUUACUGUUCUUAGUGGAAAGAUAGUGACGGUAGCUAAGGAGCAAGCCACGGCUAACUACGUGCUAGCAGCCGCGGUAAUCUGAGCGGGCUGGCAAGGC
RNAcentral lists this ribosomal RNA (195 nucleotides) under uncultured bacterium. RNAcentral's name for it is "partial 16S ribosomal RNA". It matches the Rfam family "Bacterial small subunit ribosomal RNA", at positions 328 to 539 of the family's 1533-position model. The record is from RNAcentral.